Molecule: ribosomal RNA, 483 nt
Filed under: uncultured bacterium
Lineage: Bacteria
Description: partial 16S ribosomal RNA
Rfam family: Bacterial small subunit ribosomal RNA
Source: RNAcentral
GACGAACGCUGGCGGCGUGCUUAACACAUGCAAGUCGAACGAUGAAGCCCAGCUUGCUGGGUGGAAGAGUGGCGAACGGGUGAGUAACACGUGAGUAACCUGCCCCUGACUCUGGGAUAAGCGCUAGAAAUGGCGUCUAAUACUGGAUAUGACCUAUCACCGCAUGGUGUGUGGGUGGAAAGAUUUAUCGGUUGGGGAUGGACUCGCGGCCUAUCAGCUUGUUGGUGAGGUAAUGGCUCACCAAGGCGACGACGGGUAGCCGGCCUGAGAGGGUGACCCGCCACACUGGGACUGAGACACGGCCCAGACUCCUACGGGAGGCAGCAGUGGGGAAUAUUGCACAAUGGGCGCAAGCCUGAUGCAGCAACGCCGCGUGAGGGAUGACGGCCUUCGGGUUGUAAACCUCUUUUAGUAGGGAAGAAGCGAAAGUGACGGUACCUGCAGAAAAAGCACCGGCUAACUACGUGCCAGCAGCCGCCGUAA